Long non-coding RNA from Medicago truncatula (barrel medic), 702 nucleotides. RefSeq lists it as uncharacterized. Lineage: Eukaryota; Viridiplantae; Streptophyta; Magnoliopsida; Fabales; Fabaceae. The transcript has 2 exons. The record is from RefSeq and is a predicted model, not a curated record.
UAUCGUUUUAUUUUUUUGGAAGGAGUUUUAAGUUCAAGCAACUAAUUGAGUAAAAUAAAACUAUUUUCUAGUAAUUUUUCAUAAGCAAAGAGGAAACAAAUAUGGCUCAAUUUAUCAAGUUUGUUAGUGUUAUCAUUCUCUUAAUAUCCCUAUUUUUUGUCGUAGUCAACGGUGGAUUUGCACGUUACUGCACUAAUGAUAGUGAGUGUGAGUCUUACUGUUUCGAUCCAAUAUAUGCGAUGUGCUUGAUCAAUAAAUGUAUAUGCGACUAUACAUAAGUUAAGAGUUAAGUUGGAAGUGAUAGCCUUUUCUUUGCAAUUACUUUGGGAUAGGGUUUCUACUCACCAAAAUUUGUUUAGGAAAAAGCCUUUUUUUAAUAUUUUAGUGGAACUUCAUGUGUCUUUUUUUUUUUUUUUUAGUUUCUGUUGGAGUGAGGUGUCAUCUGGAAUUUGUUUUUCAGGAUCCACGGCAAGAAAAAUGGAUUUUGAAAAGAAAACAUGUCAUUGAGAAAUAUACAUUUUUUAUUAAAAAAAAAAAGCGUCGUUACAUGUCGCCAAUAUAAGUGUUGUUAGGAAAUGUUAGAACCACAGUUUUAUUAUAACUAGGAUUGACAUUUAUUGUUUGUCAUGUAUUGCUUUCCUAGCCGUUUGUAAAUGUAAUUAUAAAAAUAAGAGUGUUCUACUAUUUUUUAAAAGGUGCUAA